GUCCUCGUGGCAUAAUGGAUAUUGCAGUUCCCUCCUAAGGAACAGAUUACAGGUUCGAUUCCUGUCGAGGACGCCA
This 76-nucleotide transfer RNA is filed under the name Gammaproteobacteria bacterium. RNAcentral describes it as "tRNA-Arg". It matches the Rfam family "tRNA". Rfam says of the family: Transfer RNA (tRNA) molecules are approximately 80 nucleotides in length. Their secondary structure includes four short double-helical elements and three loops (D, anti-codon, and T loops). The record is from RNAcentral. Lineage: Bacteria; Pseudomonadati; Pseudomonadota; Gammaproteobacteria.